RNAcentral lists this non-coding RNA (459 nucleotides) under uncultured Conexibacteraceae bacterium. The record is from RNAcentral. Lineage: Bacteria; Bacillati; Actinomycetota; Thermoleophilia; Solirubrobacterales; Conexibacteraceae.
ACCGUGUUGACGGCGAAGCUCGCGCAGGGGACUGCGACAGAAGCGGCGGCGCUGGGCGAUGUGAAGACCGCGCUGGCGGUCGCGAUCCACGAGGCGCAGGCAGGGGACGGCGAGCUCUUCGCGGCCGAGGAGGGUCUGCGCUUCGGCGCGGCCUGUGCAGAGGCGGCGCUGGCCGGUCCGGUGACGGCGCGUGAGGAUCUCGCAGCGGCGCUCGGGUCGCGCCCGGUCAUCGCGCACGACGCCAAGGCGCUUGGGGGGGUUCCGGCGGUGCUCGCGCACGACACGCUGCUCGCUGCGUAUCUGCUCGAUCCCGCUCGGCGCGCCUUCCCGCUCGCCGAGCUCUGCGAGGAGCGUGGACUGCACUGUGAGCUCGACGAUCCGGCCGCCCGGGAGGCGGUUCUGGUGCAGGAGCUUGCACGGCUGCAGCGGCCGGAACUCGCCGAGCGUGGUCAGGAGCGG